UACGGGGGGGGCAAGCGUUGUUCGGAAUUACUGGGCGUAAAGGGCUCGUAGGCGGCCAACUAAGUCAGACGUGAAAUCCCUCGGCUUAACCGGGGAACUGCGUCUGAUACUGGAUGGCUUGAGUUUGGGAGAGGGAUGCGGAAUUCCAGGUGUAGCGGUGAAAUGCGUAGAUAUCUGGAGGAAUACCGGUGGCGAAGGCGGCAUCCUGGACCGAGAUUGACACUGAGGAGCGAAAGCUAGGGGAGCAAACGGG
RNAcentral lists this ribosomal RNA (253 nucleotides) under uncultured bacterium. RNAcentral's name for it is "partial 16S ribosomal RNA". It matches the Rfam family "Bacterial small subunit ribosomal RNA", at positions 524 to 776 of the family's 1533-position model. The record is from RNAcentral.